GAGUGCCGCAAUGAUGACUCUUUAUUUGCUACUCUUGACCAUGAGAAUGACGAGAGCUAUUACCACCAUUUUGAUACUGAGGCACUU
RNAcentral lists this small nucleolar RNA (87 nucleotides) under Ornithorhynchus anatinus (platypus). RNAcentral's name for it is "C/D box snoRNA Oa1724". The record is from RNAcentral. Lineage: Eukaryota; Metazoa; Chordata; Mammalia; Monotremata; Ornithorhynchidae.